AGGGACCCAGGGCUAAUGAAGCAAGUCUGCUUCAUAACCAGGUAGCCAGGGUUCCCUCGAAAGAAUCUCCUGUGCAGUGACUGGCUGCUCUGAAGAUCGGCCUGAGGGCCCCCACAGGGGUGCCAAGUGGAAGAGAAACACCAGCCCACGGAGAAAGGCUGCGACAGUGCCUCCGCUAUCAGAACCCAGGUCUCCUGCUUUGAAAUCCAAAUGAGAAAACUUUAGAUGAAUCAACAGAGAAGAACAACAGAUCAACGUGGGGCUAAUAUCAGUAGCAGGGAAGACCAAUUAACAAAUCCCUGCAUUGUGCUGUUUACUCUCCUAUUCCUAAGGUUAAUUAUGCGAUCAAGUAACAGCUUUUGCCUUGAUUACAGGGCCCUCAGGAAAUAAAAGCGUGUUUCCACUUUA
This is a long non-coding RNA of Myotis brandtii (Brandt's bat), 408 nucleotides long. RefSeq lists it as uncharacterized. NCBI's taxonomy places the organism in Eukaryota, Metazoa, Chordata, Mammalia, Chiroptera, Vespertilionidae. The record is from RefSeq and is a predicted model, not a curated record. The transcript is spliced from 2 exons.